This is a long non-coding RNA of Scylla paramamosain (green mud crab), 443 nucleotides long. RefSeq lists it as uncharacterized. The record is from RefSeq and is a predicted model, not a curated record. Lineage: Eukaryota; Metazoa; Arthropoda; Malacostraca; Decapoda; Portunidae. The transcript is spliced from 3 exons.
UUCCCGUGUCUAUAGUUUAGAAGGAACACGUGUUGUGUAGACAGUUCAUAACCUCGCGGUAUAUUUGUUUAUAUCAUGUUUGUAUACUUGCCAGUGAGACAGACUUUUUUCCUGUGACUAUACUAAAGUGAUACACUGUCAUAAAUGUGUGCCUUUCUCUCGGACAUGGCGUGAAAUAAACCAGAUUUAAGCCUAGUCGUACCUCCCGCAACCCGAGGCGUUCAGCUGGUCACGUGUCGAUCGAGCGCCAGGCAGGUCGCGGGAUCGUGUUGAAAUGGACACAAAUGGGGUCACGCUGCCAGCACGCAGGGUGAGUCAACAAAUGUUCCUGGCCGUGAUUUAGUGUGCCUGCGUUACGUAUCAGCGGAGUGAAUGUGACACCUCUGCUUUCCCUCCAGCCUACGUACAGUCGUGGCCUAAAUUCAAGUAAUAUUCUGACCUUA